UACGGAAGGCAGCAGUGGGGAAUAUUGCACAAUGGGCGCAAGCCUGAUGCAGCCAUGCCGCGUGUAUGAAGAAGGCCUUCGGGUUGUAAAGUACUUUCAGUCGUGAGGAAGGUGUUAAGGUUAAUAACCUUAGCAAUUGACGUUAGCGACAGAAGAAGCACCGGCUAACUCCGUGCCAGCAGCCGCGGUAAUACGGAGGGUGCGAGCAUUAAUCGGAAUUACUGGGCGUAAAGGGCACGCAGGCGGUUAAUUAAGUUGGAUGUGAAAUCCCCGGGCUUAACCUGGGAAUGGCAUUCAAGACUGGUUAGCUAGAGUCUUGUAGAGGGGGUAGAAUUCCAUGUGUAGCGGUGAAAUGCGUAGAGAUGUGGAGGAAUACCGGUGGCGAAGGCGGCCCCUGGACAAAGACUGACGCUCAUGUGCGAAAGCGUGGGGAGCAAACAGGAUUAGAUACC
This 452-nucleotide ribosomal RNA is filed under the name uncultured bacterium. RNAcentral's name for it is "bacterial SSU rRNA". It matches the Rfam family "Bacterial small subunit ribosomal RNA", at positions 340 to 786 of the family's 1533-position model. The record is from RNAcentral.